RNAcentral lists this long non-coding RNA (1052 nucleotides) under Lupinus angustifolius (narrow-leaved blue lupine). Its description in RNAcentral is "long non-coding RNA (LANG_LNC001504)". The record is from RNAcentral. Lineage: Eukaryota; Viridiplantae; Streptophyta; Magnoliopsida; Fabales; Fabaceae.
CCCUUUCUAUUCACACCCUGUGAAAGAAAGUAAUUACAAUGAAUGAAGAAAUUGAAUGAUGGCUUUGAUUGCCUUGACAAGUAUGAAAUAUAAUAACACUUGCAAUCCAAUCAAUUCUUUUGUAUACUUAGUAAAUAAUGCUCUUUAAGUUUACAAAACUUUAAAACACUUUACUUCAAGCAACUCAGAAAAAUAGCUUUGAAAGUUUGAGUUCAAGUUGCUAGAAGUGCAGAAAACUAUUUCAGAAAAGUAUAGGAAAGUGUGAAAGAGUUGUUCAAAAAGUUAUUUUCAUUUUGAGUUCUAAGACCUUUAAAUAGGCUUUCCAAUAAGUCAUUGUGCCUUUAUGAAAGAGUAGGAAUUGUUUGGAAUGAAGGCAUUUCAUUUGGUAUGAAAAUCCUUGAGUUUCAAAUCUGAAAAAUUGAUGUAGGAGCUCUCAGUAACCGAUUACAGCAAGUGGGUAAUCGAUUACCCAAACGUGACAUUUUGAAAAAUUACAUUGAGUAAUCGGUUACUCACUUGAGUAAUCGGUUACUCAAACUCUCUAUCCAACAGUGAAUUUAAAAUUCACUUAGAGUAAUCAGUUACUCAAAUUUGAGUAAUCGGUUACUCUAAUUUAAAUAUUGUCGGAUAACUGAUUCUCACUCAUGUAAACUGUUACUCAAAUGUCAGUAACUUGUUACACAGUAUUUUAAAAAAUGUUUUCAUUUAAAACUUGAAGUGUUUCAAUUUCUUUUUUGAGCAUUACCAUUUUAGUAUAUUAAAGAGUAUAUGAUAGAAGUACCUAUUUAGACUUAGACUAAUUGUCUUGAAGCUUUAAUCUUCUUGGUCUUCAUAAGUAAUUUUCCUUUUCUUCUUUUUGGUGAUGUUGGUGUCUUCAUCAAAACCUUUCAAAGGUCAGGAGCAAAGAUCUUCUUCACAAUCUCCCCCCUUUUAAUGAUGACAAACCAAGAUCUUUUUUAUAGUGUAGUUUUCUUGAGAGCAGUAUACUUUGAGAUAUGUUGAAGUUUGACUUGAGUAUGCUCCCCCUAUCUUGUAUGCUCCCCCUUUCUUUU